Molecule: ribosomal RNA, 183 nt
Filed under: uncultured Helicobacteraceae bacterium
Lineage: Bacteria; Pseudomonadati; Campylobacterota; Epsilonproteobacteria; Campylobacterales; Helicobacteraceae
Description: partial 16S ribosomal RNA
Rfam family: Bacterial small subunit ribosomal RNA
Source: RNAcentral
ACUUGCCUUGGGCGAACACACGUGCUACAAUGGGAGUAUACAGAAAGCUGCAAUACCGCGAGGUGGAGCCAAUCUCUAAAAUAUCUCUCAGUUCGGAUUGUAGUCUGCAACUCGACUACAUGAAGUCGGAAUCGCUAGUAAUCGUAGAUCAGCUAUGCUACGGUGAAUACGUUCCCGGGUCUU